Molecule: ribosomal RNA, 479 nt
Filed under: uncultured bacterium
Lineage: Bacteria
Description: partial 16S ribosomal RNA
Rfam family: Bacterial small subunit ribosomal RNA
Source: RNAcentral
GAUGAACGCUGGCGGCGUGCUUAACACAUGCAAGUCGAGUGAGAAGUUUUGAAAAGAUUCUUCGGAUGAAAUUUAAAAUGGAAAGCGGCGGACGGGUGAGUAACGCGUAGGCAACCUGCCCCAUACAAAGGGAUAGCAUUUGGAAACGAAUAUUAAUACCUUAUGAAACUUAACUAGUGCAUGCUAGGUAGGUCAAAGAUUUAUCGGUAUGGGAUGGGCCUGCGUCUGAUUAGCUAGUUGGUGAGGUAACGGCUCACCAAGGCGACGAUCAGUAGCCGACCUGAGAGGGUGAACGGCCACAUUGGAACUGAGACACGGUCCAAACUCCUACGGGAGGCAGCAGUGGGGAAUAUUGCACAAUGGGGGAAACCCUGAUGCAGCAACGCCGCGUGAACGAUGAAGGCCUUUGGGUCGUAAAGUUCUGUUCUAGGUGAUGAAAACUGACAGUAACCUAGGAGAAAGCCCCGGCUAACUCCGUG